AAAUCCAGUGGUCAGAUAUUAUGGGUUUGAAGGCAAAUUACCCUGACGAUGGACCUGGAACUUUAGAUGUAGUGCUUUCAAGACAACCUCUUUUCUUCAGGGAGACGAAUCCACAGCCUAGGAAGCACACUCUUUGGCAAGCAACAUCUGAUUUUACUGGAGGACAAGCUAGCAUGCACAAGCGACAUUACUUGCAGAUUCCACAAGGCUUGUUAGGAAAGCAUUUUGAAAAGCUUAUUCAGUGUGAUCCCCGUCUUAAUUUCCUAAGUCAACAACCAGAGAUUAUACUUGAUUCUCCACAUUUCGAAACCAGAAUUUCAGUAUUUGAAGACCCAAACGUGUGCGAGUCGGAAUUUAAUCUGAAUAAUGAGAGAAGUCCUCCCUUUCUUAACUUGCAUGGUGCCGCUUCGCCUUCAGGAGCUCAUUGUUCUUCAACAAAUGGAGAGCAAGACUUUGUUGUUAGUAGACGAUUGGAAAACAUUCGUCCAGAAACACCUUCACCAAGCUCAGUGAUGGAUACAAGGGCGAUUCAAGAUGUCAGUAGAGAUAUGGAGCAGUUGAAAGGCCUUGGCAACCUAGAUCAGAUCAGAGUGCCUGGUCUUCAUCCUUCCAUGUCAAUGAAAGAUUUAGUGAGCCACUUUGAACAACGUUUUUCUGAGCAGGGAACGUCUGAAGUUAUAAGCUUGUCCAGUGACGAACUCCAAAGCUUGGAGAUACUCGAAGAGAUCUCGAGGUGCUUGUUUAGUGACACUCAAAAUAUGCCAGCAUCAGAUGAGAAAUCCCUCAUGACAAGGGUCAAUUCUCUGUGCUGUCUUCUUCAGAAGGAUCCCGCAACAGCCCAUAAGAGUGAGAACUAUGGUGGUGUUGCAGUUGGAGGUAA
This 880-nucleotide unclassified non-coding RNA is filed under the name Hevea brasiliensis (rubber tree). Lineage: Eukaryota; Viridiplantae; Streptophyta; Magnoliopsida; Malpighiales; Euphorbiaceae. The record is from RNAcentral.